AAUAAACCAAUUUUUCACUUUUUACCUUUGAUUUUUGACUCUUCGUCUUAUUUAAAUUUUUUUACGAUUGACAUUUUUAUUUUUAUUAGAUGAUAAAUCAUAAAUAGUACUUUACAUGUGACUAAUUUUUUUCUAAUUUCCUAAAAUUUUUUUAAAUAAGACGGAUGGUAAAACGUUGGACACGGAAACCAAAAAAUUCGUUUUUU
Molecule: microRNA precursor, 206 nt
Filed under: Oryza brachyantha (malo sina)
Lineage: Eukaryota; Viridiplantae; Streptophyta; Magnoliopsida; Poales; Poaceae
Description: MIR812 microRNA precursor family
Rfam family: MIR812 microRNA precursor family
Source: Rfam by way of RNAcentral